This 594-nucleotide ribosomal RNA is filed under the name Triticum aestivum (bread wheat). Its description in RNAcentral is "partial small subunit ribosomal RNA". Lineage: Eukaryota; Viridiplantae; Streptophyta; Magnoliopsida; Poales; Poaceae. The record is from RNAcentral.
AUGGACAGUUGGAGUGCACCUAUCAAGUGCUCCCAAACUUUCGGCCUCACCAGGUCUGGGCCGCGCGCUGGCGUGGUGAAUGAUGGCAUCGUGCAUUGGUUGUACAAGGACAAUGCAAACUUCUACAUCCUCAACAUAAGCGCUGACGCAACACAUGGCUCCUUAACCAAGAUCCCUAUUCAAGUCAAAGGUGGCUUGUCAGCACCGUUCCCGUGCAUACUUAAGGAAGGAAAGCUCUCAUUUGUGAAUAUCGGAGAUAAAGAUGUCCUUGAACUUUGGACCAAGCAAGAACAAGACGAGCAUAGUUGUGAGGGUAAGGAAGGAUGGGUGCACUCCGAGUUGGCGCCCCUAGAGGUCAAGGGAAUUCAGAUCUUGUCCUUCGCAGAGAGCUUAUGCGUGAUAUUUAUGGUGCAAAAAGAGUGUCGUAGAAUACUCACUCUUAACCUCGUCAGCAAUAAAAUGGAGGAAGUGAUAGAGGAAUACAGACAUGUUCUAUUCGUACAAUUGUUUCGAAGAGUGGAAAAACCAGAGUCAUGUGCUCUACUAGGUAGAUUGGCCGUCGUACCUAUUUCACCUAUCAGUUGGAAACUAUGA